GUCGGGUCUCUUCGAACUUUCCUGAUCCCCAAGCCCUAGACCGGGUUCCAACAGAAGCCUGCGGCCCUCUCGGUACGCGCGCGAGCCGAUCUGGCCGCCAGCAGCACACAAUACGCCCGAGUAGCUCUGCAUUCCCUAAAAAGGCCCAGAAGCCUCCUCCUUUCAAUGCCCCGAAUCUCCUGCUUUACCCCUGCUACCCUACCUACAGUUGCCAGGCCACCAGGGUUUUGCUGUAGUAAGUUCUCAAGUGCCUGUGGGUCCAGGAGGAUCUGAGACAAUGGACAACAUGGAGGAAAGAGCCAGCAGUUCUAAAGCUGAUCACUAUAGUCAUCAUUUGGCUAAACUACCUCCUUUGCCUUGUAUGUAAUAGCAAACCUUUCUGGGGGUU
Molecule: long non-coding RNA, 388 nt
Organism: Neofelis nebulosa (Clouded leopard)
Lineage: Eukaryota; Metazoa; Chordata; Mammalia; Carnivora; Felidae
Exons: 2
Source: RefSeq, a predicted model, not a curated record